UUUAAAAGAAUUUUACUACAAUUUAAAGGACGCGGUAUCUUGACCGUGGUAAUGUAGCAUAAUCACUCGCCACUUAAUUGGUGGAUAGUAUGAAUGGUUGAACGAAUAUAACACUGUCUCAGGUAGAGGUUUUAUAAAAUUGGAUUAAUAGUAAAGAUACUAUUUUAAAUUAUAAGACGAAAAGACCCUAUAGAGCUUAACUAUAAUCUUUUUUUAACUAUAUAAAUUUAUUUAUAAAAAUAAAAAGACUGGUAGUUUAGUUGGGGCGACUAUCUUCUAAAUAAACGAAGAUAAACAAUAUUAAUAAAAUAAUUUAUUGUAUAAUAAAUGA
Molecule: ribosomal RNA, 331 nt
Filed under: Sarsia tubulosa
Lineage: Eukaryota; Metazoa; Cnidaria; Hydrozoa; Anthoathecata; Corynidae
Description: partial 16S ribosomal RNA
Rfam family: Bacterial large subunit ribosomal RNA
Source: RNAcentral